GAUGAAGAACGUAGCGAAAUGCGAUAAGUAAUGUGAAUUGCAGAAUUCAGUGAAUCAUCGAAUCUUUGAACGCACAUUGCGCCCGCCAGUAUUCUGGCGGGCAUGCCUGUUCGAGCGUCAUUUCAACCAUCAAGCCCCCGGCUUGUGUUGGGGACCUGCGGCUGCCGCAGGCCCUGAAAAGCAGUGGCGGGCUCGCCGUCACACCGAGCGUAGUAGCAUACAUCUCGCUCUGGGCGUGCUGCGGGUUCCGGCCGUUAAACCACCUUCAUAACCCAAGGUUGACCUCGGAUCAGGUAGGAAGACCCGCUGAACUUAAGCAUAUCAAUAAGCGGAGGA
This 336-nucleotide unclassified non-coding RNA is filed under the name soil metagenome. RNAcentral's name for it is "partial contains 5.8S ribosomal RNA, internal transcribed spacer 2, and large subunit ribosomal RNA". The stretch from base 1 to 120 matches the Rfam family "5.8S ribosomal RNA", at positions 35 to 154 of the family's 154-position model. The record is from RNAcentral.